Unclassified non-coding RNA from Callithrix jacchus (white-tufted-ear marmoset), 300 nucleotides. It matches the Rfam family "Metazoan signal recognition particle RNA". Rfam says of the family: The signal recognition particle (SRP) is a universally conserved ribonucleoprotein. It is involved in the co-translational targeting of proteins to membranes. The eukaryotic SRP consists of a 300-nucleotide 7S RNA and six proteins: SRPs 72, 68, 54, 19, 14, and 9. NCBI's taxonomy places the organism in Eukaryota, Metazoa, Chordata, Mammalia, Primates, Cebidae. The record is from Ensembl.
GCCGGCACAGUGGCGCGUGCCUGUAGUCCCAGCUACUUGUGAGGCUGAGGUGAGAGGAUCGCGUGAGCCCAGGAGUUCUGGGCUGUAGUGCCACUAUGCCAAUCAGGUGUCCUAACUAAGUUCGGCAUUAAUAUGGUGACCUCCCGGGAACGGGGUACCACCAGGUUGCCUAAGGAGGGGUGAACUGGCCCAAGUCGGAAAUGGAGCAGGUCAAAACUCCUGUGCUGAUCAGUAGUGGGAUCGUGCCUGUGAAUAGCCACUGCACUCCAGCCUAGGCAACAUAGCAAGACCCCAUCUCUA